Molecule: long non-coding RNA, 710 nt
Organism: Gigantopelta aegis
Lineage: Eukaryota; Metazoa; Mollusca; Gastropoda; Neomphalida; Peltospiridae
Exons: 4
Source: RefSeq, a predicted model, not a curated record
UAAAUAUUCUAAAAGCAUCAUGGAGAUUAGUUUCAAAAAAAGUAAUACCGAAGUUUGAAACGUUCUUGAAUGAGACAGUUGAAGAGAGAGCCACAGUGACGUCGAGUGCUGAUCUCAUCAGCAUGCCAGGACCAUGGUUACGGAUUGAGCUGACAGGUGUAACGACCAGAGACUCGGGACAAUACACCUGUUGCAUUGAUUACCGUACGGACGAUGAUGUACUUUGGCAAGCAGACACCAAGAACUUCACUGUAGCAACUGUUUCUACAGCUGGUCCAACCACGCCAGGUGAUACCGCUGGAAUUGUGACCGCUGUUGUAUUAGCUUUUGCUAUCCCCAUGGGUUGGAUAAUAUAGAAGAGGGUAAAGCAUGCCACAGGUGAAGAUGAGCAUAACGCACAGACAACUCGAAACAAACAAUGAAGUUGACAACCCUGGCUUCUCAAAUAUGUCUUAACUAGUUUUUUUCUUUUUAUUUAAAAAUAUAUAUUACAAACACAGCUUAAAUGUCUUAAAUGGAUGUUAUUUGGGUGUGGUUCGUCGGGUGUCCUAUGUUGGUUGUGGUACGUGAUACGUUGGGUGUAGUACGUUGGGUGUGGCACGUUGGGUGUUUUACUUUGGGUGUGGUACGUUGGGUGUAGUACUGUGGGUGUUUUACGUUGGUGUAGUACUGUGGGUAUGGUCGUUGGGUGUAGUCCUGUGGGUGUUUAC